GGCCUCGUAGUUCAACUGAAUAGAAUACCACAUUACGGCUGUGGCGGUUGCAGGUUUGAAUCCUGCCGAGGUCACUA
This 77-nucleotide transfer RNA is filed under the name Putridiphycobacter roseus. Its description in RNAcentral is "Crocinitomix sp. SM1701 tRNA-Arg". It matches the Rfam family "tRNA". Rfam says of the family: Transfer RNA (tRNA) molecules are approximately 80 nucleotides in length. Their secondary structure includes four short double-helical elements and three loops (D, anti-codon, and T loops). The record is from RNAcentral. Lineage: Bacteria; Pseudomonadati; Bacteroidota; Flavobacteriia; Flavobacteriales; Crocinitomicaceae.